GGAGAGAUGACCGAGUUGGCGAAGGGACAUGCCUGGAAAGCGUGUAAGGUCGAAAGGCCCCGUGGGUUCGAGUCCCACUCUCUCCGCCA
Molecule: transfer RNA, 89 nt
Filed under: Bacillota bacterium
Lineage: Bacteria; Bacillati; Bacillota
Also listed under: 3 other names
Description: tRNA-Ser
Rfam family: tRNA
About the family: Transfer RNA (tRNA) molecules are approximately 80 nucleotides in length. Their secondary structure includes four short double-helical elements and three loops (D, anti-codon, and T loops).
Source: RNAcentral